AGCGAACGCUGGCGGCAGGCCUAACACAUGCAAGUCGAACGGAUCCUUCGGGAUUAGUGGCGGACGGGUGAGUAACACGUGGGAACGUGCCCUUUGGUUCGGAACAACUCAGGGAAACUUGAGCUAAUACCGGAUGUGCCCUUCGGGGGAAAGAUUUAUCGCCAUUGGAGCGGCCCGCGUCUGAUUAGCUAGUUGGUGAGGUAACGGCCCACCAAGGCGACGAUCAGUAGCUGGUCUGAGAGGAUGAUCAGCCACACUGGGACUGAGACACGGCCCAGACCCCGACGGGAGGCAGCAGGGGGGAAUUUGGGGCAAUGGGCGAAAGCCUAACGCAGCCAUGCCGGGGGAAUGAUGAAGGUCUUAGGAUUGUAAAAUUUUUUCAGCGGGGACGAUAAUGACGGUCCCCGUAAAAGAAGCCCCGGCAAACUGCUG
This 432-nucleotide ribosomal RNA is filed under the name uncultured bacterium. RNAcentral describes it as "partial 16S ribosomal RNA". It matches the Rfam family "Bacterial small subunit ribosomal RNA", at positions 29 to 506 of the family's 1533-position model. The record is from RNAcentral.